CCUACGGGUGGCAGCAGUGAGGAAUAUUGGUCAAUGGACGCAAGUCUGAACCAGCCAUGCCGCGUGCAGGAUGACGGCUCUAUGAGUUGUAAACUGCUUUUGUACGAGGGUAAAACCCGAUACGUGUACCGGGCUGAAAGUAUCGUACGAAUAAGGAUCGGCUAACUCCGUGCCAGCAGCCGCGGUAAUACGGAGGAUCCGAGCGUUAUCCGGAUUUAUUGGGUUUAAAGGGUGCGUAGGCGGGUGGGUAAGUUAGGGGUGAAAUGUCGGGGCUCAACCCCGAAACGGUCUCUAAUACUGUUGGACUUGAGAAGACGAGCGGUAGGCGGAAUGUGUGGUGUAGCGGUGAAAUGCUUAGAGAUCAUACAGAACACCGAUUGCGAAGGCAGCUUACC
Molecule: ribosomal RNA, 395 nt
Filed under: uncultured bacterium
Lineage: Bacteria
Description: partial 16S ribosomal RNA
Rfam family: Bacterial small subunit ribosomal RNA
Source: RNAcentral